GACGAACGCUGGCGGCGUGCCUAAUACAUGCAAGUUGAGCGCUGAAGGUUGGUACUUGUACCAACUGGAUGAGCAGCGAACGGGUGAGUAACGCGUGGGGAAUCUGCCUUUGAGCGGGGGACAACAUUUGGAAACGAAUGCUAAUACCGCAUAAAAACUUUAAACACAAGUUUUAAGUUUGAAAGAUGCAAUUGCAACACUCAAAGAUGAUCCCGCGUUGUAUUAGCUAGUUGGUGAGGUAAAGGCUCACCAAGGCGAUGAUACAUAGCCGACCUGAGAGGGUGAUCAGCCACAUUGGGACUGAGACACGGCCCAAACUCCUACGGGAGGCAGCAGUAGGGAAUCUUCGGCAAUGGACGAAAGUCUGACCGAGCAACGCCGCGUGAGUGAAGAAGGUUUUCGGAUCGUAAAACUCUGUUGGUAGAGAAGAACGUUGGUGAGAGUGGAAAGCUCAUCAAGUGACGGUAACUACCCAGAAAGGGACGGCUAACUACGUG
Molecule: ribosomal RNA, 497 nt
Filed under: uncultured bacterium
Lineage: Bacteria
Description: partial 16S ribosomal RNA
Rfam family: Bacterial small subunit ribosomal RNA
Source: RNAcentral